RNAcentral lists this long non-coding RNA (1379 nucleotides) under Anas platyrhynchos platyrhynchos (common mallard). RNAcentral's name for it is "lncRNA (ENSAPLG00000016585.1)". The record is from RNAcentral. Lineage: Eukaryota; Metazoa; Chordata; Aves; Anseriformes; Anatidae.
AUGACUUCCUGGAGGAUCUCUUGCUCUGCAAGAGUUGCUGUGGCCUUCUCUAAUGUCCUUGCCUUGCUCCAGGUGAGGAAUGCCAUCCAGAGGAUGAAGGACAAGAAGAAAGCACUCUCAUUCACAAACUGCUCUCAUCCCAUCAACUACUUAUCAAGUCCAAGAAACACAACCUCCUGGGAGACCGGGAAACUGAGUCCUGCAGCUGAGAGUGCCUUGUCGAGCCCUGUGCAGAAAGAUCCACCAGUGAAGAACAUCACCAACAAAGGCAACUUUGGAGCCAAAAUUCCCAUGGGGAUUUCAUCAAUUAUGUCACCAGAGAGACCGGCCGUAGAGCUGACAGCAUUCAAAUCCUCAGGUAACAUUUGCCUACCUCAUUUCAAUAAUUGUUGUUACCACUGAUACUGCUUUCUCUGGUUGCAUCAUGGAGCGUGGAUCGGCGGGUGGAGGGCGGGUUAUUUUUACCAAGACUUUAGGGAGUGUUUUAUUUCCAAACUGCCCUGGUGGCUGCAGUCCUGGCAAGGCUGUUGAGGGAUCCACGUCGCCCUGAACAGGGCGGCAGCAGGAGGUGAAAGGUGGGUGCAUGAAGGCCCUGCAGUACUGCCUCCCCGCAGCACCCAGCAGGCUCUGGAAGGCAGCAGAGAUGCAGUGGGCACGGCAGGCAGCCCUGGCAGGGACCAGGCUGCUUUCAGGAGCCCCAACAGCUCCCUGCUGCCACAGGGUAUUUUAAAGCAGCAGCUGCCUCAGAAGGCGCUGGCGGGUGUUAGAAGUGACUUUCUCCCAAAGAAGGGAAGCCGGGGAAGGUGGGGUGUUCAGACAGGGAUGGAUUUAUGAGCUUAAAAGCAGCCAUUUAGCUUCUUCUGUUUCAGGUUGUAGAAAGGCCAAUGUCACCGUGGAGGUGGGUAGAAUUCAAAAGAGAAAUCCCUCCUAAGCCCCAGAGCUCUGCUCGACAGCAGCAGUGCCCUGUUCCCUCCCUGCCUUUCCUGCCUGGCUUUGGCCAACUCCCCAGCUCCCCUGUGCAUGGGUGUAGCAUAUUUUGGUUGUUUGUGGCGUAUUUUUUUUUAAUCCAUCACCAAUGAGUACUCCAAGCACUCUCGGUGCAGUCGCUGGAUGGGGUCACUCAAACAGAUAGUGCAGCGAAGACGCAGCGGGGAUGGACUGAUGUUAUUUUUCCUGCAUUGUUACAUUUUCUUUUGUCAAGGGAUGCAGUGCAUUAGCAGGUUUCUGAUUUUGCUCCACAUUAAGUGUCUAAGCAGGGCAUGCUUAGACUGUUUUCGAGAAGAUGCCACCCAGAAGCAUUACAGCUUUCCUCCCCACACUGGACACAUGAGCGAGGCAGAAACAGUGGCACCCAGGAAUAAAUGUGCUGCGGCAUUUCA